CUCGGAGCUGCUUCCUGCUUUGGGCUGCUACAAAUAGUUGCUGUAAGCGUCUGUGGACAGGUCUAUGUGUGAAGAUGAUGUCUUGCUAAGUUGUCCAGGCUGGACUUCAGCUUUCCACCCUCCUGCUUCAGCCUCCCAGAGUGCUGGGAUCACAGAAGUCCAUGCACCCGCGCCAGCAAUGAAGAGUGACCUGGCCCUCGCGGGAGCGCUGCUCGGCCUGGCCCUCCUGUCACUGCCACCGCCCGCACGCCCCCAACUGGCCGCAGAAGACGCCUGCUCCGUGCAGAUCCUGGUGCCCGGCCUCAAAGGGGACUUGGGAGAGAAGGGGGACAAAG
This 335-nucleotide long non-coding RNA is filed under the name Heterocephalus glaber (naked mole-rat). Its description in RNAcentral is "lncRNA (ENSHGLG00100033511.1)". The record is from RNAcentral. Lineage: Eukaryota; Metazoa; Chordata; Mammalia; Rodentia; Bathyergidae.